GAUGAAGAACGUAGCGAAAUGCGAUACGUAAUGUGAAUUGCAGAAUUCAGUGAAUCAUCGAAUCUUUGAACGCAUAUUGCGCUCUCUGGUAUUCCGGAGAGCAUGCUUGUUUGAGUAUCAGUAAACACCUCAACUCCCUUUUCUUUUUUGAAAUUGGAGCUGGACUUGAGUGAUCCCAACGCUUUCUUCCAAGAAAGUGGCGGGUUGCUUGAAAUGCAGGUGCAGCUGAACUUUUCUCUGAGCUAUAAGCAUAUCUAUUUAGUCUGCCUAAAAAACAGAUUAUUACCUUUGCUGCAGCUAACAUAAAGGAGACUAGUUCUUGUGCUGACUGAUGCNGGAUUCACAGAGACAGCUUCGGCUGACUUUGUAAACUCGAUCUCAAAUCAAGUAAGACUACCCGCUGAACUUAAGCAUAUCAAUAAGCGGAGGA
Molecule: unclassified non-coding RNA, 430 nt
Filed under: soil metagenome
Description: partial contains 5.8S ribosomal RNA, internal transcribed spacer 2, and large subunit ribosomal RNA
Rfam family: 5.8S ribosomal RNA (bases 1-120)
Source: RNAcentral